Molecule: ribosomal RNA, 1796 nt
Organism: Neurospora crassa OR74A
Lineage: Eukaryota; Fungi; Ascomycota; Sordariomycetes; Sordariales; Sordariaceae
Rfam family: Eukaryotic small subunit ribosomal RNA
Source: Rfam
UAUUUAAUUAAUUUUAUUAAUAAUUAUAUAUUUAUUUUAAAGAUUAAACUAUAUAUAUUUAAAUUUAAAUAAUUAAAUUAUAAAAUUGCGAAUAGUUUAUUAAAUUAGUUAUAGUUUAUUUGAUAGUACUUUACUAUAUAGAUAACCAUAGUAAUUUUAGAGUUAAUAUAUAUUAAAAACCCCAACUUUAGAAGGGGUGUAUUUAUUAAAUUAAAAACUAAUACCCUUCGGGGUUAAUUAGUAAUUUAUAAUAAUUUUUUAAAUUAUAUAGUUUUAUAUUAGUAAUAGUUUAUUUAAAUUUUUGCCCUAUUAAUUUUCGAUGGCUAGGUCUUAGUUAGCUAUAGUAAUAAUGGGUAACGGAGGGUUAGGGCUCGACUUUAGAGAAGGAAUUUGAAAAACGGUUACUAUAUUUAAGGAAGGUAGUAAGCGUAUAAAUUACUUAAUUCCGAUACGGGGAGGUAAUGAUAAUAAAUAUUAAUAUAAGGUUCUUUUGGGUUUUAUAAUUGGAAUAAAUAUAAUUUAAAUCCCUUAACGAGGAAUAAUUGGAGGGUAAAUUUAGUACUAGUAGUUGUAGUAAUUCUAGUUUUAAUAGUAUAUAUUAAAGUUAUUAAGGUUAAAAAGUUUGUAAUUGAAUUUUAGGCUCGGUCUAUUAGUCCGCUUUACUAUAUAUAUUAAUUGGGUUGGGCCUUUUUUCCUAGAGAAUUGUAUAUUCUUUAUUAGGUGUGUUGGGGAAUUAGGACUUUUAUUAUAAAUAAAUUAAAUUGUUUAAAGAAGGCCUAUAUUCGAAUAUACUAAUAUAGAAUAAUAGAAUAGGAUGUAUAGUUUUAUUUUAUUAGUUUCUAAGAUUAUUAUAAUAAUUAAUAGGGAUAGUUGGAGGUAUUAAUAUUUAAUUAUUAGAAGUAAAAUUCUUAGAUUUAUUAAAAACUAAUUAUUGCAAAAGUAUUUACUAAGGAUGUUUUUAUUAAUUAGGAACGAAAGUUAGGGGAUUGAAGACGAUUAGAUAUUAUUAUAAUUUUAAUUAUAAAUUAUACUAAUUAAAGAUCGGAUAGUAUUAUUUUUUAACCUAUUCGGUACCUUAUAAUAAAUUAAAAUAUUUAGGCUCCUAGGGGAAUAUAAUUAUAAGGUUAAAAUUUAAAGAAAUUAAUAGAAGGGUACUAUUAAGGGUGGAGCUUGCGGCUUAAUUUGACUCAAUACGGGGAAAUUCACUAGGUCUAAAUAUAAUAAGGAUUAAUAAAUUGAAAGCUCUUUUUUAAUUUCGUAGGUAGUAGUAUAUAGCCGUUUUUAGUUAAUAGAGUAAUUUAUUUAUUUAAUUAUAAUAACGAACGAAACUUUAAUUUACUAAAUAGCUUAUAUUACUUUAAUAGUACGUUAAUUUUUUAAAGGGAUUAUCGGUUUAAACCAAUAGAAAUUUAAAGUAAUAAUAGGUUUAUAAUGCCUUUAAAUAUUUUAGGCCGUACGCGCGCUAUAUUAAUAUAAUUAGUAAAUAUUCCUUUAAUUGGAAGGUUUAAGUAAUUUUAUUAAAUUAUAUUAUAUUAGGGAUAGAAUAUUACAAUUAUUACUCUUUAAUAAAGAAUCCUUAAUAAAUAUAAAUUAUUAACUUAUAUUAAUUAUAUCCCUACCCUUUAUAUAUACCGCCUAUUACUACUAUUAAUUAAAUAGUUUAGUAAAAUUUCCGAAUUGGUUUAGGGAGGUUAGUAACGACUACUUAGGGCUAGAAAGCUAUUUAAAUUUAAUUAUUUAAAGGAAAUAAAAAUUGUAAUAAGGUUUCUAUUAGUAAAUUAAUAGAAAGAUUAUUA